CUUGGUGGCCAUAGCGCGGUGGUCCCACCUGAUCCCAUGCCGAACUCAGAAGUGAAACGCCGUAGCGCCGAUGGUAGUGUGGG
This 83-nucleotide ribosomal RNA is filed under the name Proteus mirabilis. The record is from RNAcentral. Lineage: Bacteria; Pseudomonadati; Pseudomonadota; Gammaproteobacteria; Enterobacterales; Morganellaceae.